AGCACCAGCUAUUGGACCUACUCUUUCAGGUUACCUUGUUGAAUAUUUUAACUGGAGAUC
RNAcentral lists this small RNA (60 nucleotides) under Staphylococcus aureus. RNAcentral's name for it is "HMPRFS0000_2703". Lineage: Bacteria; Bacillati; Bacillota; Bacilli; Caryophanales; Staphylococcaceae. The record is from RNAcentral.